Molecule: transfer RNA, 73 nt
Filed under: Dipodomys ordii (Ord's kangaroo rat)
Lineage: Eukaryota; Metazoa; Chordata; Mammalia; Rodentia; Heteromyidae
Rfam family: tRNA
About the family: Transfer RNA (tRNA) molecules are approximately 80 nucleotides in length. Their secondary structure includes four short double-helical elements and three loops (D, anti-codon, and T loops).
Source: Rfam by way of RNAcentral
GGGGUUAUGGCUCCAGUGGUGGAGCACCUUUCUAGCGAGUAGGAAGCCCUGAGUUCAAACUCCAGUACCCCCA